UACUUUUUUCCUCUUAAACUUCAAUAGUUAAUUUUGUUUAAGUCAAGAGUUUAACUACUGAUUUGAGAAAAUAAUGUUUAAAAGAAUCAUUUUUAUUUAAUUAACUCUUUUACUAAAAACUAUUAGAAACAAACUUUAAAACAUCUUCAAAUUUUCUAAAAUGACUUAUUUUCAUAAUGAAACACUUGGAAAAAUUUAACUAAACACAUCCCAACUCUUAAGUAGUUGCAUAAUUAAAACUAACAAUGAAACUUGACGAGUUUUUUCAUAACAAAUACUAAAAUUUCAUGACAAAUUUGUAGUUAUAGAUUUAAAAGUAGAAUAACUUAACUAUAUAUAUCAAUCAACGGUCUCUAUAAACCCUAAAUCAUUAAAGUUGAAGAUUAUAAGUAAUUUUUAAAACCUAUAAACCUAUUAAUUUUUAAACCGAUUUAAACAUAACUAAUCAAUCGGUAAAAGCAUGCAAAGAUAGAUCGAAAGGCUAAUCUAAAAUACUACGAUUAUUAAGAAGAUUAUCAGAAGUUUGUUUGUAACAUAACUAAUAAUAAUAUCAAAGAUAUUUUAAAUAUUUAAAACUUGUCAACAUUAUUUGGGGGUCCAGAUCAAAUGAUCGAUGAAAAAUGAUGUCACUAAGAAUUAGAGAAACGUGGAGAAUAUGAUACGAAGAUAACCGCAUCCCAAACUCAUGAUCACGCAUGAGAGAGUGUUUUGUCACUAUAUACUUUCACACAUAUAAACCCCCUUCUUUUAUUGCUUCUUUAAUUUUUCUUCUUUUUCUUAGAUGUAAAUAUAUAUUAAAAAAGAUUAUUAUUUGAUGUAAAUAUAUAAGGUAAAAGAAAAAAGUGUGUGAGAUGAUAAAGAAAAAAGUGCUAUUAGAAGGCCCAUUAAGUGCUAUCUUUUAAAGCACUUUGAGUGAUCUAUGAAAAUUAGUUUCUAUCUAUUUUUUUGUUUUCUUUUUUUCCCAUUUACCAAUUUUAUGUUAAAGUAACUAUUCUUUUUUCCAUUAAUUUUUUUGUUUUUAAAUAUUGCAAUCGUGGUUGCAAUUAUUAAGAAGGAUACGAACUAUUAAUGGAAAGAAUCUUUUUUUUCAUUUAGGGGCCCUUCUUUUUUCUUUCUUUUUCUUCUUCUUUUCUUUUCCUUUUAAAAAAUUAUGAUUUAAGAAAUGGUAUAUAUUUGGAAAAAAAACAUUAUUUUCUUCUUUAUAAUAACAUUUCUUUUGAAGUUUUUGUUACAAUGACUUUUUCAAAUUUUUAGUUUUUUUUUUAUUAUUAUUGGUUAAAGAUUUUAAAAAUAUCUUUUGAAAAAAAAAAACUAAUUAGAGAAAAUAAUAUCAUACAGAAAAAUCAUCACCUUUCCAUUGACUUCAUUUACCCUUGGAGUCAUUUUCAUAUCAAAUUGUUUUAAGGAAAAAAAAAAUUUAUACAAUUUAUUUUCGAUGUACGAUCACUCAAUCAUUAUUACCAACAAAUCAAAUAUUCAAAUAUCACUCUUGUUACGGCAAGUUUACAAAAAUUGCAAAAGAAAAAAAAAUGAUAAUAAAAUCCAUGUCACUUCAAUUGCAAAAGUAACAAAUUUAAAAGCAUAUAGCCGUUUGACAUAUUUAAUUAUUUGUCAUAUUUGCAAUAUGAAAAAAAAAAAAGUACUAUAAACUGUUUCUUUCUAAUUUUUUUGUUAUAUGAUGUAAUUUCUUUAAAAUUAAAAAUAUUUGUAUACAUACGUAUAUGUAUAUAAUAUCAUUCUUGAUUGUUUUCUCACGAUUUUUGACGUAGUUAUCCUAAUAUGACAUUUUAAUACCAUAACUUUAUUAUUCUUGUCCAUGAUUAUUUUUAGUACCUCUAUAGAGCACUAUAGAAAGUUUUCAAAUAGGUCUAGGAAAACAACUUGCAAAGUUCAUCAAAAGAGAGCUAGCAAACUAUGCAAAUUUCUAUCUUUUAGUGGAUGGGAAGUACAUAUAAAGCAAUAGUCAAAUCUAUAGACAAUUGAAAUAUACAACAUUAAUGUUAUCACAGAUGUCUUUGUUUAAUGAUUACACUACACCAAAGUUCAUAGAACUCAUAAGUCAAAAGGAUAAUCUCAAAAAUCUCAUAUUGAAGGUCCAAUUAUUAAUCAUCUAAAUUAGUAACCCAACCACAUGUGGCAAAAGAGAUUGAGUUACAGAAAAAAAGGCUACAUCUUAACUAGUAGAGUCACAAUAGACACGGAAGUACUAUACAACAUUUUAUGAUUUAAGAAUUAAGACAACCAUAAACAAUAAAGUAAAAAGCUAGGCAAAGUUAAAGACAAAAAGGGACAAAUAAUUCAUUGAUACAAAUCAAAUUAGUCGAUGCUUAUAAAUCAAACCUUGAUCAUUAUUUGAUAUCAUUUUUUUAAAGAAAUCACACCCAUAGAGGUGGAGCUCAAACCACAACAUCUUAAUUGCUAACUCAUAUAUGGAAUGCCAAUUAAGGUAGCUUUGCUUUUGACCCUUCAAUUUUAUUUUGUAACAAGUGGAUAGAUUUUAAAAUUUAUAAAUAAUUUAAAAGUUGAAGAAUUGUAUAGACACAAAACUAAAACUAAAACUAAAAAGGGAUGUAUAUGCUAUUUUUAGUUUUUUUUACAAAAAUUGAACCUAAUGAAGGAUAAAAUUUUAGUGAAACUUUUAGUUGGUCUUCAUAUUUUAAUAAAGUCUUGGUAAAUAAUUAGUAUGGAUAAGUGUUAAUUAUAAGAAUUAGAAGGACAAAAUUUCAAUUAAGAGUUAUAAAUUAGUGUGAGUAAUUAAGUUAAUUUUGCUAUUAAGGGUUUAGUCAAAGAAAAUUUAUUGACCAAAUGUGGAUUGAAGAGUAAAGAAGGACACCAAAGGCGCGCUCGCCCUAAUCGCAUUGCCAUAGACAUCGCCGCCUGCCCUCGAACACAAGAUCAGCUCUACGGCGCAGCGCAAACGAAUACACGAAGCGGCUGUGGUUUAUAGGGUUUUACAACCACCGAACAAAUGGAUUCGUUUUCAUCGCCUUCAAGCGGCUCUUCUCCCCAAUUUUCUGCCAAUGAAUUCAGGGAUCAGCUCAAGACUCAGCUUGCUCAGGCCUACGCCGAGGAGUUUCUUGAGGUUUUACUUCUCCCUUACUUGUUUCUUUAAUUACUGAUAUGAUGUGCGGAUGUAUCGUGUAAGAAUAUCUGCACUUGUUAGAGUAAUCGGUUUGAUGAAUGCGAAUUGUUGAGUCUAUAGAUUUUGGAGUAUUCUAUCACAACGUCAAGUUGAAUCAUUUAGGCUUCUUUUGAUGACCAUUUGGAGCUUUAGAAUUGUGCUUGUUUUCUCAACCUUGUAGAUUUUCGUAUUUCUAGGGAAUCAUUUGAACUCCAAAUUCUAAAAUCAAAAAAGAAAAAACGAGUUUUUCAAAACUGUUCUUUUUUUUUUUAUUAGUUUUCAUAACUCGACUUGAAUUUUAAAAAUCCAACUCAUAGGUAGGAAUAGUAUAUAAGUUUCAUUUGCAAAUUACACAACUUAAAUUCUCACUUGUCACUUCCAGUUCAAACUUCUUUUUCAUUUCCUCAUACUCUUUUUAAUAAUUAAAGACGUAGAAAUGUAAAAUUCAGGUGUGGAAGUUCUUUACUGAUCGAAUGCAGUAGAUAAAGAAUACUUAAUGUUAUCUAACUUGUGUUGUUGGAUUGAUUGAUGGAUUUUCUUUUUUUCUUGUUGAUUUUGAAUGGGGAGGGGGAGGGCUAGAGGUAGUACUAUUAGGAGGAACAAAUUUUCCGGAGAAAUCUCCUGAACCUCUAGGCUUCACAAAUGGUUCUUUAACAUUAUGUUAUUGUCCAUGUGUGGUAGAUGACUCGUUCUUUGAUUUAUUUUUGCUCUAGCCUUCUAGGUAUGCAUAAAUCCUUCAUAAUGAUUAGUAAAGACUAUAAUUUUACUUGGUCUCAGCAUUGUUCUACCAUAAGAUCUUUGGAGUUGUCCACACUAUAGACGCUGGGGAAGAAACGGCAUAAAGGUUCAUUGUUCAGCCAAUGGUCCUUCCAAAACAGUGUUUUAUUACCUUUGCCUACCUUUGUCUUGUACCGGUUAUCAGAAAACUGAAUCCACUCCAAAAUAUGGAGUCAAGGGCCCUUUACUUGGCCGGACCUUUCAACAUGGUCUACCAGUCUUUCUCUUCCCAGUUUUUUUGGAAGCGAUCACCUUCCUCCACAAAGCCCUCUAUUCAGUUGAGAAUCUCCAAUCCCAGUUGGCCAAGAGAGCCUAUUUCUAGUUGCUAUUUCUCCAAUGCUCAAACCUCCUAUUGAAGUAGGGACUAGGGAGGGACAUGAGUUCCCAAUUUAUGAGGCUGUUAAUGGGGUGAGGUGCACUCAAUGAAAUAAAUUUUGAAUCAGGAAACUUCUUUUUGGGGGAAAAGUCUCUUCUUUUGGGGAAAUUGUGUGGGUUUUAGGCAAAAUUUGAAUCCAAUUUUGAUUGCCUUAUAAUAAGUUGGUAGAGAAUCCUCGAAGAAGGAAAUCUAAAGGUUGAAUAAGCUAGGAAUGACUUGGAAAAAACGGUGGGAGAGAAUGUCUUGUAAAAAAUCUUUGAAGGAUUGAACUUGGGGAGAGAUGGGGCAGCUUUGAUGUUUGAUCUACAACUUUAUCCACCAUAUCAUAGAGUAUUCAAUUAGGAAAAUCUUUCAUCUGGUGUUCUCUUUCUGAACUUUUGUUGUUAUAAUCUUGUACGUUCCCAUAAAAAAAUAUGAUCAUUUACAGUGUGGGCGUGUUGCCAACUUGAAUUCCUUUUUUAAGCUUUUCUAUUAGGGACAUCUCAUCUCUCUCUCUCUUUUUUAUGGUCUCUCCAUCAAUAUAUUUCUCAAUUUCAGUAAGGGUUAAAAUCAAAUUACAUGUUUUUUUUCCUCUGUUGAUUCUUAGACUUUAAUUUUUGUGAAUAAAAUUUAGUAGCUUUGUUUAUGGGAUAGAUCUCAUGGGGUAGGACAUUGAAGAUAUUGAUGUCAGUUAUAAUUUCCAUGCUGUGUGUUUCUUUCGAUUGUCUUGAGGGUUUUAAGGGAGAACACUUUUGGAAAUGUGUUGUGGUAUUUGCUGGUUCCUUUACUUCGUUUGCUGUCUGCACCUUGUGUGUGCUUAAAAUCUUGCAUUUUUCUUGCACAGACCUUAAGAGUGAAGUGCUUUGACAAGUGUAUCACAAAGCCAGGGUCAAGCUUAAGUGGAAGUGAGAGCAGUUGCAUCUCUAGGUGCAUGGAGCGUUAUAUUGAAGCAACCAGCAUCGUCAGUAGAGCCCUCUUUAAGACACCACACUAAAGGAACAGGUUUUCCUGAGACAUUAUGAGGUCGAGGUAUCUUCAGCAACCACCAACCUACAUUAUUUUUCUCGGUUAGAUAUUUGUUUUCCAGCUCUAAAAUCUUUCUUGAGGAGACAAGUUUUUGAUCUGUGCCCCAUAGAUAAUAUCGGUAUCACGUUCUUUAUUUGCUUAACAUGUGAACUUCGGGUCAUUUAAACUCUCAUUUCUUCUGAUUUAACAUGCUUCAAUCGGGUUUAUUACCAUUUGGGGGUUCAUGGUUCAUCUAUUAAUGCAAACUGCUCAACCUAGAAUAAAUAGUGUACUCUUCAAAAUUUUGAAGUUGAGUUAAUCUGUUGCCUUGAUUUUUAUACACUUUUCCAGCUUCUCAUAGAAUAAAUAGUGUACUCUUCAAAAUUUUGAAUAAAGGAAUCAACACUUUUACUUGAAAGUUGAUUUAAGUCAUUCGUUAAUUUUACACAACAUUAUAAAAGUCAUAAUUGGUUGAUUAAUUAUAGUAUUUUUCUUGCGUUCGAUAAACGUUAUAAAGAAUCUUCAACUUUUGUAAUAAUAAAGAAUCUCAUCAAGAUCAUAACAAAACGCUAAAUCGUUUUUCCUAUGUUUUUCUCUUAUUCUUUCCUCUUCUUUUUCCCUAUAUUGUCACAUACUUGAAGAAAAAAAAGUUUUAAAUAUAUAAUAUAUGCUAUAAAGAAAUUCACAAUUCACGUAUUGUCUUCCGAAUCAAUCAUUUUUUCCCUUUCACAUACGAUGCCGACAAGAAAAACAUUCACAAUACUAAAAAUUGGAGGUCUUUCUUUAUUUCUUUCUUUCUUAAAGUAAAAUCAAUGGUUGGAGUUUAUAUCUAUAACAUUUCAUUUUUUUAAAAAAAAAAUCAAAAUUACUAUGCUAGAUAAGAUCUUUUAUUUGUUAGAGUUUAUCUAGAAUUGUUUAUUUAGGACAGUGUUUGAUGCCAUCCAUUAUAGUAGAGAUAAGAUUUUUAUUUGCCAGUCUUAUCUAUAUACUAAACUUUUUUACAAAAUUAUUUGAGAACACUAUGUUAGAUAAGUUGUUUAUUCACUCAAUUAGAUAAGGAAAGAACCACUCAUGUAACAUUAAUGAAAAAGAAAGACAAAGAUAUUAGAAUUUCAAUUUUGUAUUAAUAGAUGUUUAAUUUGUACGCUUAGAUAUUUAAUUCAACAAUCAAAUACACAAUCUAUUCUGUUCAUACUAAAAUAAAUAAAUAAAGAUCAUCUUUAUAUAUUCUUAUUCUAUUUCCAGAGUUUUCAUAUUGGUACUUUAAUAAUGUAGCGUGGAAAUUGGUUCGUAAUUGACCCAUCAUCAAAAUGGUAACUUUUUAAUAAAUUUCUUCAACGAUUUCUGCUGUCGACAUAAAAAGGGUAACAAAACAGCAAAAUUUGAAAAAAGAAAAAAAUAUAGAGUAGAUUACUGUUGAUCAUAUAUAUAUAUAUAACAUCCACUAGUGCUUUGAAAACAAAACAAACAAAAAUUGUCAUGAAUCAAUUAGAUUCAUAUAUUGUUCACAUUUAGGAGAUUGCCAACGUAGAGGUUGGUCAGUGCUUCAAUUAUACGUAUAUAAUAUAUAUCACUAAUUUUUUUUAAUCUUCAUGUUCAAUCCUUUUUAAACAUAAAUGUUUGUUAUAUGCUCGUUAUAUAUAAUAUAUAAAAAAAAAGCAGUCAUUAUAUUAGUAUCAUGAAUUGUUAUAGGAAUUGGUAAUAGGGAUUGCUUGAUACAACCUUGAGUCGGUUGCAUGGUAUGUUUGGCAUAAAAGAUUUGUAGAAUAAAUUAAUUAACAAGAUUGAUCAAAAUAAGCUUAUUUUUUUCUUCCAUCAAAACAGUCGUUUUUAGAAAUUUAAGAACUAAAAUAAAAUGAAGUACAAAGUUUAUAAACCAAAUAAGAAAAAUUUAUAUACUACAACAUACACAUAUGGUGUGGAUACAUUUAAAAAUAUGGUAGGAUCUACCGAUAUUAGAUUGGUGUGGGAUCCAUAAAAUUAAUGAUAAAGGUAACCUUAGAAAUGCAAACACAUGGAAUAUGGUAGCAUUAGAGUAGCAGAACAUUUUUUGGAGUAUCAUCUUCCAUACCUCCGUUCAUGUGUGUCUUUAUUAUAUGCAACCCUUUCUACAUCACUCUCACCCCUUUCUUUUAAACAUUAACUCUUUCUCUCUUUUUUUUCUUUCUAUAUAUUACUAAUUUUGAUUUGUUUCAUUUCCUCUCUACUUUAAUCAAUUUCCAAGUCUUCACAUUUUCCUUUAUAUAUUUCUUUAUCUUUUACUUUCAACCCAAUUUCAACCAUUUCACACUCCACUAUCGUACUAGAAACUUUUUCGAUGUUAAAAGAUUGUAAUUGUAAACUUUAAUUUCACAAUUUCACUCUAGAUUUUAAACACUUUAAAAAUUGGCAUCACAUAGAGUGAAAUCUCUCCAUACUAAUCCCGAGCAAAAUUAUUAAAUACUUGUCACAACUUUUAAAACUAAGCACGUACAAAAUUUAUAACCUUUAACUUUUUCUUCUCUUACCAAAAAAAGAGAAGGAAUUUUUUGUCUUUACAUUUUAGAUUAUUAUUAUUCAAGUCUUGACAUGUAAUAAACUAAUAUUAUUAAGAUGACGUUCUUGACUUAAUUUCAUGGUUAAUUGAAAACAUCAAAAAAUCAUUUUUAACUAUUUUGUCCUUUUUCUUUUCUUUUCAAUAAUGAGGUUCUUUUCCAAUGUAAUUUGUCUUUUGUUUCAUUAUAUAAAUUAAUAUUUCACAAAUAAUUACACAUACAAAGUAAAUUUCAACAUCUUCAAAUCAAACUUUUCAAUUAGAAAGAGUUUGAGUUAAGAAAAUAAUUAUUAUAAUCUUGCCCUCUUAUUUGUUCAUAAAAUCAAUCGGUAGAUCUAAUAGAUCUACGUUCAACUAUAAUAAUACCCAUUUACACAAUAAUGAAAGUUAGAAGUUGGGUUGAUUUAAUAGUAAUAAUUGAUGGUUUUAAAAUAUAUUAUUUUAAUCAUAGUUAAUGAAAUUUAUUUUAUAUAGUAAUUAAGAUGUGUGAAAGAUCAACUCCCAAUCAGAUCCAAGUCAGCAAGUCAAUUUAGUAGAAUUGUUUUAUCAUUUUAAACAAUAAUUCAAAUGGGAUCACCUCAAAAAUCAAAUUCAAUCAACUCUAAAAUUGAUUAUAUUUAUGCAUAUCUUCCAACUACAACUACAAGAAUGUUCACUUUCAGCUAUAUACAGCUCAUCAAUUCUCAUCAAAUUAAUCAUAGCAUUAAAUUCAAGUUGUAUAAUCACACCAAUUUCAAAAACAAACCCAACAAAAUAAAAACCUAAAAAUAAAUUAAAUACUACCUCAAGUUUUAUUUCUAAAUUAUCAUUCGACUAAUUGGCAUCACUUUCAAGAUUACGAAAGAUCAAAAAUUAUUUAUGAAGACCAAAUCAAAAGGUUGAUGUAUGUGGAGUACAUAGCUACUACGUGAAUAUUUGGAAAUAUGGUUUUUGAAAAUGACUUCGGAUCGGUCGAUCUCAACCAACCGAAAGACAACAAGGGGAAGAGUUAUGAUAUAUACCUACUUCCAUUUAGACUCAUUCUCUCUAAUGACUAAUUCCUCACUCGUUUUGGUAUUUCUUUCUUUCCUUUUCUCUUAUUUACAUUUCCUUUUCUUCGUAUAUUGCCAAACAUGCAAAAUUUAAAAUUAAUUACCUCCCUUUUUCUGUACUACCUGUAACGCAGCCAUCAAGUCUUUAAUUUGUUUUUUCCAUGAAAGAUUCAUCUAUCUUCUUCAACAUCUAACAUGCAAAUGCAUGUAUAAGUUAUUCAUUCCUAGCUAUAUUCUCUCUCUCUCCUACAUGCAUGGCCAACCCAAUUAAUAAUCCAAGUCUACUCUUAACUUUUCUUUAAUACACCAACUUGAUUCUUUAAAUUUAUCUCAAAACGUUUAGAUCAUGUCAAUAACUCACUCACACCGUAACUAUAACGAUACAUUAUUCAAAAUUUGUUACUAUUUUAUUAUGUGAGAGGAAAGAUUGAGUAUAUUACAUAUUAUUCAAAAUUUGUUACUAUUUUAUUAUGUGAGAGGAAAGAUUGAGUAUAUUAUUAUAUGUAUAUAUGUUAAUAUUUUAACUGCUAUGAUGCAUAUAGGAUUUUUUUUAUUAUUAAUAUUUUUACAUCAUAGUGUGUUUUAAAAUAUAGUAAAUAUUAUAAUUUUAAUUGUUGUAACCCUUCACACACGUCAAAUGUUAAUCUUCUAAAAUAUGACCCCUUCACACACGGCACAGCUUUUGCUUUACAUCAGUAUCACAAUAUGCCAAACUCCCCCCACUUAAAUGCAUGAUGUAUAUCCCCCCCCAAUUCUUUCUAUACUAUAAUGUGGAUAUUGUUACAAGUAGAGAUUUGAACUAGAUAACCUCACUGGAUUUAUAUGUAUUCAUGAAAAUUGUCAAGAGAAAAAAGACGAAAUUCAAGUGAAGAUCAACCACAUCCAAACAUCCAAUGAUUCCACUAGACCAUGAAAAGAAAAAGAGAUUAAACCAAAGACUUUAAUUGACCUACUCAACCUUUAUCCUUAUUUCCAUGAAUGGGUCAUACUUCUUAAAACAAUUAUUUUAUCUUAGAAACGAGAUGUGAUAUCCAAUUUUUAACUAUUUGAGUGUGUGAUUUGUGACUCCGUCUUUUUUACGAGCUUUUGUUUUAAGUUUUUUUUUCUGCAGCUGCUGUCCGUUCCAUUGUUCGUAUCUGUUACAUGCAGAUUCAGUGUUUCUAUUAUUGAUGCUUGACAUAUCAUUAUGUAUACAUGUGUGAGUGUGUGUAUAAAAGAAAGCAAAAUUGUAAUAUAUGUUCAUAAAUAUUGGAGAGAACGUGAAACACACAAACAAAAUUUCCACAAAAAUUAAAUAUUUUUGUUCCGAAGAAAAGCUAAGUCAAGAGUCCCACACCAAACUUAAAUAAUCCACGCGUUUUAAGCACUCUCUCUUAAAUACACUUACCUUUCCAACUCUUUUAUACAUUUAUUUCCAAUUUUGGAUCUUAGCAAUUUUUCUUUUUUUUUGCUAUUUCUCUUGUUUACAUUUUCUCAUACAAUUUAAUACCCCUAAAUAAAUCUCUUAAGGAUAAUAUAUACACAAUAAAAAGACCGUUUCAACCAUGAAAAUAUGACACUAAAUAGAAAAAGGUCGACAAAAACGACGUGAUGUUUCAUAUCGACAUUUUAUAUUGACUUUUGAUAGUUUCAUGACUACAAGGCUAUAUAAUGUUUUUAUUCUUUCCUUUAUAAAAAACAAAACUUCUGAUAAAUACAUGACAACCAUUCAACCUAAAAUUAAUCAAGUUUAAUUGUGGAGUGUCUGAAUUUAGAACAAGAUUUCCAAAUCUUGCUUCUAGAUCUUUGAUCUAUGAAGGUAAUUUUCUCUUGAUUGAUCCAAAUUAAUUAAGAAUGUGUUAGUUUCUUAUUUCAAAGGUUCUUGCUAUGUAAUAGCUUGAAUUUUUUGGAUUUUUGGAUUAGGAUAAUUAUCUUAUCCCAUGCCCUGUUACCAAUGAAUGAACAUAACCUGUUGUGGACUUUGCUAUAUUUCCUAUCCUACUUUACACUAAUUACACAAAUACAACUCACAAUUUAAUUUCAUCUCUUUUUCUUUCAAUUCCUCAAUUACAACUUCCAGGCGUUAAUCAAAUUUAAUUAAUUAAAUGAAUUUGUAACUUAUGUAUAGUUACGGACAUCUAAUUAUAAUUAAUGGACAAUUUACCACCCUUCUUUUUAUCAUUUUAAUUUAAAUUCGUUUUAUUUUUUGUUGAUUGGUCUAAACAAAGUUCACUAAGGUCAGUAAUAUAUGAUAUCACUAAUUACAAGAAGAUUUGUAUUUGAAUUCUAAGAAAGAGCAACUCGUUUCUCAUCAUAUUUAAAUUAAUACUUUCACCAUCCACAUGCGGUGUUACUAUUUUAAAUACUAAACUCUAAUGUUGUGUAGGUGAGACUUUCAUAUCUAAAAAAGGAAUUCAAAUUCAGAUUUUAUAUUACUUUAAUAAAUAUGUAUCUCUGAUUAACAGACAAGAUUUUGUUUUUUAAUACUCUGUUUUUUAUUAGAAAAUCAAAACGGUGCAAAAAAAAAAAAAAAAAAAAACCCAUCAAUUAUAUGAUAUUAACAAAUAUAAUAUUUCACGUUAUAGAUUCAAUUAUUUUUAUUAAAUUAAAAUAUGUAUAUUAUAAAUCAUAUGAUAAUAGAUGAAAAUGGUUUUAAAUAAUAAAUUAUUGAAAUAUUUAUAAAUAAAUUAGCUAAUUUUGUUCAAUUAUUUGAAACAUCCAUGCAAAAAUAAUUAUUAUACAAAAUUUACACUACAACAAAACAAUGUAAGUUUCAGUGACGCAAUAUAUUUGCUGCAAAUUCCACCUUUCUAAAUUUAUAUGUAAUUCGUUUUAAUCACAACCUUCAACUUACAAUUUGAUCGAUUACCUUUUAAAAAUUUGUUAAUGUUGUAAUUUACGAAGGGGUAUUUUCAAAUUAAAAAAUAAAGAUUUUCUCUCAUUUCACAUCUCACAUCUAUUAAUUCUCUCUCCCUUCUCCUUCCACCUCUCCUCUCACGCUCUUCACCUUCUUCCUUACUUUCAACAAUGGUCAUAUAACGGCGUUAAUGAUAUUUCUCUUUUCAAACCCUCUAAUUCUGCGAGCUUGAACACUAAUUCUGAAGACGACUAUUCCAAAGAUUACGACUAGGGUAAAAGAGAAACCAAGUCCCAUGAGAAUUUAGAGGGUAUUUGUUAUAUCUUUGAUAUUUCUCUUUUCUGUAUUUACUAAUUUGAAAAUCUUCUUUCCCUUCUUGUCUGGGUGAUGUCAUCGUUACUUCCCCGGUUUUCGUUUUAUUGACUUUUCCCUUGGGGGUUGAGUUUUCAUUAGCUUCUCUCAAUUUCCUACACACCGAUAUGAAGAAUUUAAGGAAUGGAAAAUCAAGUUUAGAGAAAGAAUUAUUGUUGCUAUCUUGGGGCCUAAAGUAAUUAACCAAACUGUAGGGGAAGAUGAAUGACAUGGUUAAACAAAAAGUUCAUUUCUUGUAUGUAUACAAAUGAAUAUACAAUAUGGAAGAUUAGUUAGCUUCAAACAUGCAAAUGACCAUUUAUUGAAAGCAAGGGAUCGAGAAGAAGAUGAAGAUGGUGAGAGAAGAUGGAGGGAGAAGACAGAUGAAGAAUGUGAGAUGUGAGAAAAUCUCUCUCUCUCUCUAUAUAUAUAUAUAUAUUUAAUUUCAAAACAACAGAUCAUAAUUACAAUCGGCUAAUUGCAACAAUUGACAAACCUUAAAUACAUAAUUGAUCAAAGUAAAAACUAAUGAGUAUGCAUGAUUGUAACCAAUCCCAUGGUUAGGAUGGUUUAAUUUAUGCAGUUGUUUCUAAUUAAUAAUACAUUGUCAGAUUCAUUUGAAAUAAUGGUUUAAAAUGAAAUUUAAUUUCUAAAUAUGCUACAAAUUAUAUGUUGAAAAAUACAGAAUACACAAUUAUAUUUGGUGGAAUGUUUGUUUUCAAAUUUCCAUUUCUAGUUACCUAGACCUACCAAACAUGUUCUUUCGUCUUUUGUCAAACGUUACCUAAUAAGUUAUGAUUAACCGAGCUACUCAAUCCAAUCAUCAUAAAACUUAAAAAUUUAUAUUAGUUGAACUAAACUCAUUUUGAUAAUUAAGUUAAUUAAAUUCUAUAUAUGGCUCUCCAACCCACUCUUACCAACUAAUCUUUGAAACUUAGGGAAAGUAGUAGUGUGUUAGGCAACAAUUAAUAUAAAAUAAAUUUCAAUUGAUGAGUGAAGUCUAAAAGUUACAAAGUAAUCAUCAAGUGCACAAAAGAUGAAAAAGUGAUCACAUAAGCUAAAUAAAAUGUUAAAGUAUCAUAUUAGCGUAUGUUUUAACUAAAUUAAACGGUAAUUAACAUAAGUGAAAUAUUUGAUCUCUCAUUUAUACUGUUGUUAUACUAAAAAGAAUAGCAUACGUCUAUGAUGAACUUUUAAAUUGUUGUAAUUAUUUUGUCAUGUUAAAAAAUUACUAAAAAACAUUUAACUUUAUAUUUUUAUUUUCAAAUAUAGCAAAAUAAACUAAAAUAUUUACGCAUAUAGUCAUUUUAUAUCAAUUAUAACACUGUUUUUUUUUCUUUGAACAAUAUGUGAAGCGGAGAUGGAGCCUUAGAUCUUCAAAUUAAUAUUACAAGUUGAGCUAAAUUUUGCAUAAUCUCUCGCUUAUUGUUGACAAUCUUUUAGAGUGUUGGAGCCCCCAAUUUAUCUUAAUUAGAGUGGCCAUUACUAGAUUAUUUGUACCCUCGUUAUAAUAACACUCAUGCUUAAUUAGCCACAGUAAGACCAUUUAAAACCUCCAUUGUCCAUGGUGUUUAAUAUUUUGUAAUCAUUCUCUCUAAACAAAGAUUAUUAAUUAUAAUUCAUAUACUAUAAUAAUCAACGCAACGCUUUACACAACCAUUUACAAUUUAAUUUAAUAUAUCUAUAUCAUCGUAAACAAACAAGUGUAUUAUUAUUAUUAUUUAUUUAUUUAAUAAGUAGUGACAUAUGUAUAAAGAUACUCAAUGUGUGUCAACGAUUGUCUAUCCAAAAUGGAUCUAAAAGGACAUAUAAAGAAAGACUUUCUUAGUACCACACACUAUCAUAUGCAUAUUUAUUUUAUUCAAAAUUUCGACACAUCAUUGAAUUAUUUAUUAUUACCUCAAAAAAAAAAAAAAAACUUUUAUUGUUUAAUUCUAGAGACCCUACCACAAUUGAUACAAUCAAUCAACACACCACACACCUUGUACGUCAUGCAAAAUUCGUCAUCUAUCGUCGGCACCUUUCCUAUAAGAAGCAAUGAUUUGCUGUCAAGGAAAUUACAGCAACGCAUUUUCCUUCUCCUCAAUUAAUUUUUUUUUAUAAAAAUAACCCUUUUCUUUUUUUCUUUUUCCUUUUUUCUACUCCGGCCGGCGAUGUCCGCUUCCGGCCACACCAAGUUGCUUGUCACAGAUCUCGCUGCCACUGUACAACAAGUUCCCUCAAGGUACGUCCGCCCAAUCUCUGACCGUCCAAACUCCUCCGAUGUCAGACCAUCCAACACCUAUUCUUUCUCUGUCAUUGACCUUCACGCCCUCGACGGCCCCUCUCGCCCCGAUGUCAUUUACCAAAUUCGCCGUGCUUGUGAACGCGACGGUUUCUUUCUGGUAAUCAUUUCUUUAAAUUCGAUUACAUGUGUAUUUUUAUUUUUGUUUUUGUUUUUUUGUAGUCUUCAGUUUAUUUAAAUUUCUAAGUGAAGAAUAUUAACAUUUAACUAACAAAAUAGUUACUUAGAAUUAGAUGCAUGCAUGCAUAUGAUUUUCAAAUGAGAUGAUCUUUGAUUUAAUUUUUAAGUUGUUAAUUGCUUAAUAAAGUUUAAGAGGUUAAUUCAUAAAGUUGUAGUAAAUGUGAUGGAAGAUAUUAUAAGUUGAUAAACUUACAGAAGCCUAAGUUAAAACUGAUAUAAUAAUUUUUUAAGUUUAAGGUUUAAAUUAAUAUAUUUUACUAUAAAUUUUGAACUCCAUUUCAAUUAUACUUAUUUUUUAUGUUCCAAAAAUACAUCUUUUAAUAGUAGAAAUUGACUGUGGAGAUUUGAAUAACACAUGUGCAAAUGUCAGUUGACACUUUUGUUUACAAAAGAAAUGUAUUUAUUGGUAAAAGAAGACUAAAACAUGGAUGCAGAUAAAAAGUCAACAGCAUAGUUCACUUAAAAUAAACUUUCUGUGUAAACAUUUAUUAUAAGUUGAAUUCUUUGCAACAAAUUUCAAGAUUCAAACGUUGAUCAAUUUUUUCUUUUUGAAGUUCGAACUUUGAAAAGUUCGAAAGAUUUGGAUAAUUUAAACUACAAAUUUCUUACUCGGAAAUAUAUGUGUAGGUUAGUUGAGAUUAUAAAUCAAACUUUACUUCUAAAUUUAUUAUAUAUAAUUUAACCAAAUAAUAAACGUGGGCACAAAAAAGUUUGUGUAGUAUUAUAUUAAAGGAGUGGGGCUUGGUGUGACAGGUGAAAAACCAUGGAGUGCCGGAGGAAAUGAUCAAUGGAGUGAUGCGUAUAACGAGGGAGUUUUUCCGGUUGCCAGAAAGUGAGAGACUAAAGAGCUAUUCCGAUGACCCGACGAAGAAGACGAGGUUGUCCACGAGUUUCAAUGUGAAGACAGAGAAGGUGGCAAAUUGGAGAGAUUUCUUGAGACUUCAUUGUUACCCUCUUCAUCUUUAUGUCGAUGAAUGGCCCUCCAACCCUCCUUCCUUCAGGUGUGACACCUUUGUCGUUUAAAAAUAUUUCUUAAUUUUAAAAAGAGAAAAAAAUGCAUUUUCGUUAUCUUUGUUCUUUUGACCCUACGUAACAUUGGGAGUGGAGUGAUUGAAUGAGAGUCGAGUAAAAGAAAAUAAAGCUACUGAAUUGUUUUUAUAUGAUAUCAUAUUGACCUUAUUACUUGUGAAUGUUUGUAGAAAAGAAGUGGCUGAGUAUUGUACUACUAUGAGGCAAUUGACCUUAAAGCUGCUAGAGGCCAUUUCUGAGAGCUUGGGGCUGCCAAAGGACUCAAUAGCAAACUCAAUUGGAAGUCAUGGCCAACAUAUGGCCUUGAACUACUAUCCUCCAUGUCCACAGCCAGAUCUCACUUAUGGCUUGCCAUGCCACACUGACCCCAACCUCAUCACUCUUCUCCUCCAAGACCAAGUCCCCGGCCUCCAAGUCCACCGCGACGGUGCUUGGGUCGCCCUCAACCCUAUCCCUAACACCUUCAUCAUCAACAUCGGUGACCAGAUGCAGGUAUAUUAGUUUCCUAAGCAUAGAUUUGAGUAUUGUACUGACUUAAAUGAUUUCUUAUAUGUAUUCAAAAUAUUUUCUCAAAAAUCAUGUAUGUAUAUUUUUUUUCUCGAUAAUUUAUCCCUCCACCCAACCUUUUCCCCUCUUCAUAUCCACAACCACCUGUUGGUGCCGUUCAUUAUCAUGAAUAUGAUACAUAAGUUUAGAGGCUAAAUCAGAACGUUUUUUUUGGUGGUAGGUGCUGAGUAAUGAUAGAUACAAGAGUGUACUUCAUCGGGCUGUUGUGAACAAUUCAACAGAGCGAAUUUCGAUACCGACGUUUUACUGUCCGUCGCCAGAGGCAAUGAUCGGGCCAGCAAAGGAGCUGAUCCACGACGAACAUCGACCUGCUUUUAGAAACUUUACUUAUUCUGAAUACUACCAGACUUUUUGGAGUGGAGAACUUGAUACUCGAAGAUGUUUAGAUUUGUUUAGGAUUUAAUGAUUUAUAUCGUCCAAUUAAUUAGAGUACUUGGGUUAUUUCAAAUUUUCAAAAUUGAUUUCCUCCAUUAAAGAGUACUCGAAGAAUGUACCAAAGUCAUCAAGUUUAGAGUUAAAAAGUCUUUUGUUUGGAGUGGAAAAGUAGUAAGAUAGAUCAAUUAUUCACUAAAUGUGAUGACUUCAAUGGUAAACACCAUUGAAGUAUUAAAGUUUUGAAUUAUUUAACAUCACUGUACCUUGUACGUUAUGAAGUCUAUAAGCCAAAUAUUGUUUAGUAAUUUUGUACGUUGUUAUGUUCACCACAUUUCAAUAUGUAAUUUUUAUCAUUUUCAUAUUAUUAAAAUUAGUUCUUAAAAGCAUAUGUUAUAAAGCAAAUUUUUCAAAAAUUAAUCAUAGAGAAAUUUUGAACCUUCUAAAAUGAUUUUAAUCAUGGCAAAAUUACUCUUAAACAUAAAUUUAAUAUAUAAAAAUCUUAAAUUAUUUAAUUAAUCAGUAUGUUUCUAUUCAUAAAAAGAGAAAUACUUUCUUAAAUUUAUUAUAAUGUAAUAUGAUUAUGUUAUUUUUUAAAAAAAAAUAAAAAAAUAUGACAAACUAUUUACACUCCAUACAACAAAAUUACAAAAAAGACAAAAUUUAUUACUUGAUUUGAUUUUUUUUUUUUGUCAAAUAUUAUAUUUUUUUAUCAUUUUUCUUUAAUUUAAAUAUAUCAUCAUUUAUAUCAGCUAAUUUUAUUUAGAGGAAUUGUCAUAGUAAAAAAAAGUAAAAAUAGAGAGAAAGAAAAGAGAAAAAAGCUAAACUUUUUAAAAGGAAAUAGAAAACUCAUUGCCAUAGGAGACCAAACAAUAAACAUUAGGUUGUAGCCUAAACAAUCUUGAAGACCACAAAUGUUCAUAUUUGUUGAAAGAAUUGUUCAACUAAGAUCUUAAAAAGCACAAUGAACAACCGUGAAGAACUCAAACUUCCCAACGCUCGUAACAUUGAAUACGUACUGGAAAGCUCAUACGUCUCUUUGGCUAGCAUAUCAUGCUUAUCGACUGCAGUUGAACUUAGGAACGAUACUACUCUACCUAACUCAGAUGUUAACCUACAAGCAAAUCUCACACCUCAGUACCACAAUAAGCUUUAAAUCUGAUUUUUAACCUUUUUCAGUCCACUUUAGGAAAUUCCAUUAACGAUUCUUUAAGCUAUCACGUUAACUUUUCAUCUAGUGGAUGACUCCUGGGAAGAUUCGGUAAAUUUUUUCAAGGAAACCCAAAUGAAAAAUAGACAAUUUCUUCUUUUCUAUCGAAUCAGUUAUCGGACCUUUUUC
This 17780-nucleotide long non-coding RNA is filed under the name Cucumis sativus (cucumber). RNAcentral's name for it is "long non-coding RNA (CSAT_LNC001752)". The record is from RNAcentral. Lineage: Eukaryota; Viridiplantae; Streptophyta; Magnoliopsida; Cucurbitales; Cucurbitaceae.